RNAcentral lists this transfer RNA (72 nucleotides) under Camelus bactrianus (Bactrian camel). It matches the Rfam family "tRNA". From Rfam's summary of the family: Transfer RNA (tRNA) molecules are approximately 80 nucleotides in length. Their secondary structure includes four short double-helical elements and three loops (D, anti-codon, and T loops). Lineage: Eukaryota; Metazoa; Chordata; Mammalia; Artiodactyla; Camelidae. RNAcentral also lists the same sequence under 2 other names. The record is from Rfam by way of RNAcentral.
GAAGGUAUAGAUCAGUGGUAGAGCGCAUGCUUAGCACGCACGAGGUCCUGGGUUCAAUCCCUAGUACCUCCG